This 73-nucleotide transfer RNA is filed under the name Bos taurus (domestic cattle). It matches the Rfam family "tRNA". Rfam says of the family: Transfer RNA (tRNA) molecules are approximately 80 nucleotides in length. Their secondary structure includes four short double-helical elements and three loops (D, anti-codon, and T loops). Lineage: Eukaryota; Metazoa; Chordata; Mammalia; Artiodactyla; Bovidae. The record is from Rfam by way of RNAcentral. RNAcentral also lists the same sequence under 5 other names.
UCUCUGGUGGUCCAGUGGCUAAAAUGCUGCACUUCCAAUGCAGGGGGCCCAGGUUCUAUCCCUGGUCUGGGAC